UGGGGAAUAUUGCACAAUGGAGGGAACUCUGAUGCAGCGACGCCGCGUGAACGAAGAAGGCUUUCGAGUCGUAAAGUUCUUUUAUAUGGGAAGAUAAUGACGGUACCAUAAGAAAAAGCCCCGGCUAACUACGUGCCAGCAGCCGCGGUAAUACGUAGGGGGCUAGCGUUGUCCGGAAUCACUGGGCGUAAAGGGUUCGCAGGCGGAAAUGCAAGUCAGGUGUAAAAGGCAGUAGCUUAACUACUGUAAGCAUUUGAAACUGCAUAUCUUGAGAAGAGUAGAGGUAAGUGGAAUUUUUAGUAUAGCUGUGAAAUGCGUAGAUAUUAAAAAGAAUACCGGUGGCGAAGGCGACUUACUGGGCUCAUUCUGACGCUGAGGAACGAAAGCGUGGGUAGCAAACAGG
This 403-nucleotide ribosomal RNA is filed under the name Fusobacteriota bacterium. RNAcentral describes it as "Fusobacteria bacterium partial 16S ribosomal RNA". It matches the Rfam family "Bacterial small subunit ribosomal RNA", at positions 355 to 776 of the family's 1533-position model. Lineage: Bacteria; Fusobacteriati; Fusobacteriota. The record is from RNAcentral.